AGCUCCAAUAGCGUAUAUUAAAGUUGUUGCAGUUAAAACGCUCGUAGUUGAAUUUUUGCUGUACGAAACAUAGCUAUCUUCGGAUUUGUCUUUGUUUCAGACAGCAUUAUUCUGAUUCUAUGACAACUUGUUGUUAUAGUGUCGGAUAUGUUACUUUGAAAAAACUAGAGUGUUUCAAGCAGGCAUAACGCCAUGAAUACUCCAGCAUGGAAUAAUAAGUGAGAACUCAGGUUCUUCUUGUUGGUUCAAGGGCCAGAGUAAUGAUUAAUAGGGACAGUUGGGGGCAUUCGUAUUUGGUAGCUAGAGGUGAAAUUCUUAGAUUUACCAAAGACGAACUACUGCGAAAGCAUCUGCCAGGGAUGUUUUCA
This 368-nucleotide ribosomal RNA is filed under the name uncultured eukaryote. RNAcentral's name for it is "SSU rRNA". It matches the Rfam family "Eukaryotic small subunit ribosomal RNA", at positions 587 to 972 of the family's 1831-position model. The record is from RNAcentral.